Molecule: long non-coding RNA, 2083 nt
Organism: Suricata suricatta (meerkat)
Lineage: Eukaryota; Metazoa; Chordata; Mammalia; Carnivora; Herpestidae
Exons: 2
Source: RefSeq, a predicted model, not a curated record
CCCCACCGCCAAAUAUACACGCUCUGGGCUUUCUGUACCUGCUUUGUUCCCUACUCCAGAAGAGGCCAAGCUCAAGGGCCCACCUGAGACUGAAGGCACUUGUACAUUCUCGUAGGCUCUGUGUUCCUUCUGUGACUGCACAGCUUAGUGCUUUGCCCUAUGACUUCCAGUUACAAAAGAGGAAGAUGUGAGCAAGUCUCCGACAGAUGGGUUCAGUGAAGCGGACAGCAUCCCUAAGCCUCUACCAGAGGGACAGCGAUGGGAAACUGAGGUCCAGAACAUGUGGGAAGAGGCUGGAGGUGUCACUGGAUCACCACUCAGGUCCCUGUGUCCUUCCUGUGCUCCCCCUCCAUGCACCCUAGACCCGCUUUGGCAGUACUGGGCUCUAAAUGCCUAUCCUCCUGAUCAUCUACCCUGAUUCGCCCCAUGCUCUUCUCUUGGCUGCUCUGUCCACGGGCUAAUCUAUGUGUUGUCAGAGCUCUUUUGUGCCCAACUAAACACAGAGGAUCUCCUCAGUCACUGCUCUAGAAUGGAACUCCAUCCUCUCCAUCACGUUGGGGUACCCUACUUUGGAGCUCUUGCUUCUCAUCAUCCUGGAGUUCCCGGCAGAUACAGGCUCCCAGAAAGAGAACCUUGGUUUGGUGGGGCUCAUUUCCCCAUCAGUUUGGGGGCUGUCAGGGUAGACUCAGCUCCUCUCCAGCUGUAGUCCUUCAGAGCCACCAAGGACCUCACACAUAGGAAGGUUCUUAUUCCAAAGCCCUUCCUGACAAUGUGACAGCCCUUUGGAGGAUGCAGAGGAUCUGGGUCCACAGGGCUUCUCUUCGAUAAACUCCCAACAGACUCCCUCUUCACAAACUUUCCCUGGCCUUCUGGACCUUUGUUCCCUACCGAUCACACGUUCGGCCAACAGCCCCUUCCUCAUUCCCUCUUGCCCUCUGUUGGACUCGAGACAGCCAAGCUGGGUCCAGCAAGCUGAGUUCAGGAGGCAGAAGCUUGGGGAUAGGCCUGGGUGGGGGGUGAGGAUGAGGGACAACCCACAGUUUGUGCACUUUUGGAAAGUCCUGCAGCAGUGAUCACUUCUAAACCCUUGUGGGGGGUCCGGGAGCAGGUGAACAGAGGAGUGGGGUGGAGGUAAAGAAGGGCCGCCGCGUCUGAGAAGGGAGGCAAGGACACAGAGCAGUGUUGGGGCUGAACUCACAGACUCUAGACCUGAGGUUUUGAUAUUUUCUUAGUUUGGUUUUAGUGUUUUCUCUUUCUUCUAGAGGUUUUCCUUAAAAAAAAAAAAAAAAGUCUCAACAUUGCCCCUUUACACCCAGCCCCAAGCAAAAGGGGAGCAUUCGUAGCAGAAGAACAGGGGCUGGGAGGCCCUCAUGGGUGCCAAGGGCCUAGCUGAGAGGGAAACCAGUGGGGGAGGAGGGGGUGUUGAACAGUAUUUCAAAGGUGCUCCCUAACGUGACCCCAAAGGGCUUACUUCCAUGGGUGGGAAGAAGCUGGAACAAGAUGAGGUAUGUAGGCGGAAAAAACCACUUGUAGUAGGUAACAUCUGCCCCCGCAGAACCUCUUCACACACUGCCACCUCUGUGCGGAGGAAAAAGGAAGGGGAAGGAGGUGCUCACCACACACCAACAGCCAUCGUGUAUGACUAGUGGGGUGUGGAGGGCGCUGUAAUGGGCCCUGCAGGUCUGUUGAGAGCUCUGCCCAGCAGCAUCCCACAGCCCACCCAGAAAAAGUGAGGUAGGAAAUCACAUUUGUCACCUGAGAAGAGGCAGGUAUGUGCCUGUGUGAGUGUGCGCGUGUGUACUUGCACCCCCAGGUCUUUGCAGUCUGUCGGGGUAUCUGUGUGAGGUGAGCAUCUAUGUCAAGGCCUGCUGGCAAGAUUAAGCUCAGAGGGUUCUGUGGGCUGAAGGGUGCCUGUGAGAGCUGUUCUUUUGUCCCGUGGCAGGGAAUGAGAGGCCAUUUUCAGAAAAGUCUUAAAAGGUCAUGGGGACAGAUUACAGAAAUAUUUCUUUUUUAAGGCUCACUGUUUCCUAAGGUGUCCCUGCAGCUGUUAACCGUCCUUGCUUGAUUAAAGUUUCCAACAACC